This 252-nucleotide ribosomal RNA is filed under the name uncultured bacterium. RNAcentral describes it as "partial 16S ribosomal RNA". It matches the Rfam family "Bacterial small subunit ribosomal RNA", at positions 524 to 776 of the family's 1533-position model. The record is from RNAcentral.
UACGGAGGAUGCGAGCGUUAUCCGGAUUUAUUGGGUUUAAAGGGUGCGUAGGCGGACUGUCAAGUCAGCGGUAAAAUUGAGAGGCUCAACCUCUUCCCGCCGUUGAAACUGGUGGUCUUGAGUGGAUGAGAAGUACGCGGAAUGCGUGGUGUAGCGGUGAAAUGCAUAGAUAUCACGCAGAACUCCGAUUGCGAAGGCAGCCUUCCGGCGCCCUACUGACGCUGAGGCACGAAAGUGCGGGGAUCGAACAGG